RNAcentral lists this ribosomal RNA (253 nucleotides) under uncultured bacterium. RNAcentral's name for it is "partial 16S ribosomal RNA". It matches the Rfam family "Bacterial small subunit ribosomal RNA", at positions 524 to 776 of the family's 1533-position model. The record is from RNAcentral.
GACGUAGGGUGCAAGCGUUGUCCGGAAUUAUUGGGCGUAAAGAGUUCGUAGGCGGUUGCCUAAGUCUGGUGUUAAAUACUGGCGCUCAACGCCAGCAUGGCAUUGGAAACUGGGCAGCUAGAGUGUGGUAGAGGUCACGGGAAUUCCUGGUGUAGCGGUGGAAUGCGUAGAGAUCGGGAAGAACAUCAGUGGCGAAGGCGGUCUGCUGGGCCGUUGCUGACGCUGAGGCGCGACAGCGUGGGGAGCAAACAGG